Molecule: ribosomal RNA, 460 nt
Filed under: uncultured bacterium
Lineage: Bacteria
Description: partial 16S ribosomal RNA
Rfam family: Bacterial small subunit ribosomal RNA
Source: RNAcentral
CCUACGGGGUGCAGCAGUGAGGAAUAUUGGUCAAUGGACGAGAGUCUGAACCAGCCAAGUAGCGUGAAGGAUGACUGCCCUAUGGGUUGUAAACUUCUUUUAUAAAGGAAUAAAACGAGGCACGUGUGCCUUUUUGCAUGUACUUUAUGAAUAAGGAUCGGCUAACUCCGUGCCAGCAGCCGCGGUAAUACGGAGGAUCCGAGCGUUAUCCGGAUUUAUUGGGUUUAAAGGGAGCGUAGAUGGGUUGUUAAGUCAGUUGUGAAAGUUUGCGGCUGAACCAUAAAAUUGCAAUUGAUACUGGCAGUCUUGAGUACAGUUGAGGUAGGCGGAAUGCGUGGUGUAGCGGUGAAAUGCUUAGAUAUCACGAAGAACCCCGAUUGCGAAGGCAGCUUACUAAACUGUGACUGACAUUGAUGCUCGAAAGUGUGGGGAUCAAACAGGAUUAGAUACCCGUGUAGUC